UGGGGAAUUUAGGUUAAUGGAAGAGCUUCUAACUCUUAACAUGGGCAGUUCGAUUCUGUUCAUCCCUUA
RNAcentral lists this transfer RNA (69 nucleotides) under Semelidae sp. STW-2017. Its description in RNAcentral is "tRNA-Ser". Lineage: Eukaryota; Metazoa; Mollusca; Bivalvia; Cardiida; Semelidae. The record is from RNAcentral.